RNAcentral lists this ribosomal RNA (500 nucleotides) under uncultured Pseudomonas sp. Its description in RNAcentral is "bacterial SSU rRNA". It matches the Rfam family "Bacterial small subunit ribosomal RNA", at positions 1 to 500 of the family's 1533-position model. Lineage: Bacteria; Pseudomonadati; Pseudomonadota; Gammaproteobacteria; Pseudomonadales; Pseudomonadaceae. The record is from RNAcentral.
UCAGAGUUUUGAACCUGGCUCAGAUUGAACGCUGGCGGCAGGCCUAACACAUGCAAGUCGAGCGGAUGAAGGGAGCUUGCUCCUGGAUUCAGCGGCGGACGGGUGAGUAAUGCCUAGGAAUCUGCCUGGUAGUGGGGGACAACGUUUCGAAAGGAACGCUAAUACCGCAUACGUCCUACGGGAGAAAGCAGGGGACCUUCGGGCCUUGCGCUAUCAGAUGAGCCUAGGUCGGAUUAGCUAGUUGGUGGGGUAAUGGCCCACCAAGGCGACGAUCCGUAGCUGGUCUGAGAGGAUGAUCAGCCACACUGGGACUGAGACACGGCCCAGACUCCUACGGGAGGCAGCAGUGGGGAAUAUUGGACAAUGGGCGAAAGCCUGAUCCAGCCAUGCCGCGUGUGUGAAGAAGGUCUUCGGAUUGUAAAGCACUUUAAGUUGGGAGGAAGGGCUGUUACCUAAUACGUGACAGUUUUGACGUUACCAACAGAAUAAGCACCGGCUAC